RNAcentral lists this ribosomal RNA (119 nucleotides) under Brassica oleracea var. oleracea. The record is from RNAcentral. Lineage: Eukaryota; Viridiplantae; Streptophyta; Magnoliopsida; Brassicales; Brassicaceae.
GGGUGCGAUCAUACCAGCACUAAUGCACCGGAUCCCAUCGGAACUCCGCAGUUAAGCUUGCUUGGGCGAGAGUAGAACUAGGAUGGGUGACCUUCCGGGAAAUCCUCGUGUUGCACCCC